Molecule: ribosomal RNA, 247 nt
Filed under: uncultured bacterium
Lineage: Bacteria
Description: partial 16S ribosomal RNA
Rfam family: Bacterial small subunit ribosomal RNA
Source: RNAcentral
AGAUGGCGACCGGCGCACGGGUGAGUAACACGUAUCCAACCUGCCGAUAACUCGGGGAUAGCCUUUCGAAAGAAAUAUUAAUACCCGAUGGCAUAAUUAGACCGCAUGGUCUUAUUAUUAAAGAAUUUCGGUUAUCGAUGGGGAUGCGUUCCAUUAGGCAGUUGGUGAGGUAACGGCUCACCAAACCUUCGAUGGAUAGGGGUUCUGAGAGGAAGGUCCCCCACAUUGGAACUGAGACACGGUCCAA